Molecule: non-coding RNA, 216 nt
Organism: Salmo salar (Atlantic salmon)
Lineage: Eukaryota; Metazoa; Chordata; Actinopteri; Salmoniformes; Salmonidae
Source: RefSeq, a predicted model, not a curated record
GUUAAGGUUAGGGAUCAGGUCGGCAGCGCGGUUAAGGUUAGGGAUCAGGUCGGCAGCGUGGUUAAGGUUAGGGAUCAGGUCGGCAGCGUGGUUAAGGUUAGCGAUCAGGUCGGCAGCGUGGUUAAGGUUAGGGAUCAGGUCGGAGAGUGGUUAAGGUUAGGGAUCAGGUCGGCAGCGUGGCUAAGGUUAGGGAUCAGGUCGGCAGUGUGGCUAAGG